UGAGAACACAUGAAAGGAGUCUUAAAAGAGUUUUUGACAUAAACCAACAAGUUCUCAGUCCAACAGAUUAAACAAACAGAACCUGUUUGCCUUAAACAACCUACAUUGUCCAGCAUUAGUUUUCACAGAAACAAAUAUGUACAAGGGCGUUUCAACCUUAACGCCCUAUUUUUCAUCUCUCCCUCUAUGACGCGGACUCGAAACUUGGACACAGCACAUCUCAGUGAGCUGGAUGGAGAACUCGUGCACGGUGAGCUUGGACAGAGCACGCACAAUGCACAGAGGUUAAGUUCAGGCAUCCGCUGAUGAUGAGAGAGUGUCGCUCGGGGCAUGUGUGCAGAGCAGGAAAUGCUUCACAUACUGCUUGAACGGCGGGAGGUGUGAGAGCAGUGCAUUGGCUGAUGUUUAGAUUCAUAAGCCCUUCAUCCUCGUUCCUGUGCUUCUUCAUAGACGCCCACAUCUCGUGCUUGUUCUUGACCCGACUCUGAGCUAGAGAGUACAUUGCCCUAUCUGUGAUGUACUGGCAGAAGUAUAGGCCGAGGGACCUCAAGUGAGGGCAAUUGUUUGCCAAAGCAAUCACGGUCUCAUCUGUUAUAAGGACACAGCCACACAGAUCAAGGGCUCUGAGAUCAGGACAGCCAUAAGCCAAACUCAUUACACCUUCAUCACCAACUUUAUCGCACCAACCAAGAUUUACAGUCUGCAGUCGGUUACAGUAGUAACCAAUAGCCUUCAAUGCCUGAUCAGUUGCAGCUUUAACACAACCACAAAGGUUUAAGACUCUUAGGUUUCGGCAACGCUCAGCUAGGUAUGCAACAGCAUUAUCACUGAAAGCAGAACACCCACUGAUAUUCAGCUUUGUGAGGUUUGGACAGCCGUGAGCUAAAGCAUAAAGGGAACGAUCAGUCAGCUUGAAACUCUUGCUAAGAUCAAGGUCUUGCAAUUCAUGACAGUGAUUGGCAAUUGUCUCGAUACCAACAUCCUCAAGUUGUGGUAAAUCUUGUCUUAGAGUUAGAACCUGCAGCUUUGUGAACUUGGGGGCAAGUGUCAGCACUAAAUUGUUCAUAUUCCUCUUGCACCAAGAAAGGGAAAGACGAGUGAGUCCCCAAGAAAUUGCAUCUCUCCAUCCACUACAAACACAAGAAGCCAGAAUCACCGAGCGAUCAUCCACAAGUGAAGCAAUCCUCAACAACAACUCCAUAGGUAUAUCCUUCCACUCUCUGAUCAUCGCCCCACCCCCCAUUUUACAAACCCCACCUCUGCUGCCAUUGUUCACAAACAGCUUAUCCAAGCUCAAAUCUUCUACCCCUAUCAUUUGUUUCUACUCAAAGUUGUAAUCUUUUUACACCCCACAAACUCCUACCUCUAUAUAUACACAAAAAACACAAGGAAAAGCCCAAAAAAG
This 1405-nucleotide unclassified non-coding RNA is filed under the name Hevea brasiliensis (rubber tree). The record is from RNAcentral. Lineage: Eukaryota; Viridiplantae; Streptophyta; Magnoliopsida; Malpighiales; Euphorbiaceae.